AUUAAGUUUAAUUUAAUAUAGGAUCUGCUCAAUGAUUUAUUAAAUAGCUGCAGUAUUUUGACUGUGCAAAGGUAGCAUAAUAAUUAGUCUUUUAAUUGAGGACUUGUAUGAAAGAUUUGAUGAGAAAUAAACUUUAUUAUUUAUAUAAUUAAAAUUUUAUUUUUAAGUAAAAAAGCUUAAAUUAUUUAAAGGGACGAUAAGACCCUAUAAAACUUUAUAAAUGUUAAUUUUGAUUUUUUUGGAUUUAUAAAUAUUUCAUUUUUAUUAUUUAUUUUAUUGGGGUGAUAAAAAAAAUUAUUAAACUUUUUUUAAAAUUUUACAUUAUUUAAUGAAUCUUUGAAUUAAAAUUUUUAAUUAAAGGAAAAAGUUACUUUAGGGAUAACAGCGUAAUUAAUUUUUUAAGUUCAAAUUUAAAAAUUAGUUUGCGACCUCGAUGUUGAAUUAAGAUUAAUCUUAGGUGCAAAAUUUUAAGUAUUAGGUCUGUUCGACCUUUAAAUUCUUACGUGA
Molecule: ribosomal RNA, 507 nt
Filed under: Neotoxoptera formosana
Lineage: Eukaryota; Metazoa; Arthropoda; Insecta; Hemiptera; Aphididae
Description: partial 16S ribosomal RNA
Source: RNAcentral